CCUACGGGUGGCAUCAGUGGGGAAUAUUGGACAAUGGGGGCAACCCUGAUCCAGCCAUGCCGCGUGUGUGAAGAAGGCCCUCGGGUUGUAAAGCACUUUCAGUGAGGAAGAACGCCUGGUGGUUAAUACCCAUCAGGAAAGACAUCACUCACAGAAGAAGCACCGGCUAACUCCGUGCCAGCAGCCGCGGUAAUACGGAGGGUGCGAGCGUUAAUCGGAAUUACUGGGCGUAAAGCGCGCGUAGGUGGCUUGAUAAGCCGGUUGUGAAAGCCCCGGGCUCAACCUGGGAACGGCAUCCGGAACUGUCAAGCUAGAGUGCAGGAGAGGAAGGUAGAAUUCCCGGUGUAGCGGUGAAAUGCGUAGAGAUCGGGAGGAAUACCAGUGGCGAAGGCGGCCUUCUGGACUGACACUGACACUGAGGUGCGAAAGCGUGGGUAGCAAACAGGAUUAGAUACCCUUGUAGUC
Molecule: ribosomal RNA, 465 nt
Filed under: Vreelandella stevensii
Lineage: Bacteria; Pseudomonadati; Pseudomonadota; Gammaproteobacteria; Oceanospirillales; Halomonadaceae
Description: partial 16S ribosomal RNA
Rfam family: Bacterial small subunit ribosomal RNA
Source: RNAcentral